CAGCCGCCGCGGUAAUACGAAGGGUGCAAGCGUUACUCGGAAUUACUGGGCGUAAAGCGCGCGUAGGCGGUUACUCAAGUCAGAGGUGAAAGCCCGGGGCUCAACCCCGGAACUGCCUUUGAAACUAGGUGACUAGAAUCUUGGAGAGGUCAGUGGAAUUCCGAGUGUAGAGGUGAAAUUCGUAGAUAUUCGGAAGAACACCAGUGGCGAAGGCGACUGACUGGACAAGUAUUGACGCUGAGGUGCGAAAGCGUGGGGAGCAAACAGGAUUAGAUACCCCCGUAGUCCCUGUCUCUUAUAC
This 301-nucleotide ribosomal RNA is filed under the name uncultured bacterium. RNAcentral describes it as "partial 16S ribosomal RNA". It matches the Rfam family "Bacterial small subunit ribosomal RNA", at positions 509 to 807 of the family's 1533-position model. The record is from RNAcentral.